GACGAACGCUGGCGGCGUGCUUAACACAUGCAAGUCGAACGAAGAGCGAUGGAAGCUUGCUUCUAUCAAUCUUAGUGGCGCACGGGUGAGUAACGCGUAAUCAACCUGCCCUUCAGAGGGGGACAACAGUUGGAAACGACUGCUAAUACCGCAUACGAUCUAACCUCGGCAUCGAGGAAAGAUGAAAGGUGGCCUCUAUGUAUAAGCUAUCACUGAAGGAGGGGAUUGCGUCUGAUUAGCUAGUUGGAGGGGUAACGGCCCACCAAGGCGAUGAUCAGUAGCCGGUCUGAGAGGAUGAACGGCCACAUUGGGACUGAGACACGGCCCAGACUCCUACGGGAGGCAGCAGUGGGGAAUCUUCCGCAAUGGACGAAAGUCUGACGGAGCAACGCCGCGGGAGUGAUGACGGCCUUCGGGUUGUAAAGCUCUGUUAAUCGGGACGAAAGGCCUUCUUGCGAAUAGUGAGAAGGAUUGACGGUACCGGAAUAGAAAGCCACGGCUAACUACGUG
This 510-nucleotide ribosomal RNA is filed under the name uncultured bacterium. Its description in RNAcentral is "partial 16S ribosomal RNA". It matches the Rfam family "Bacterial small subunit ribosomal RNA", at positions 28 to 507 of the family's 1533-position model. The record is from RNAcentral.